RNAcentral lists this transfer RNA (81 nucleotides) under Merluccius polli (Benguela hake). It matches the Rfam family "tRNA". From Rfam's summary of the family: Transfer RNA (tRNA) molecules are approximately 80 nucleotides in length. Their secondary structure includes four short double-helical elements and three loops (D, anti-codon, and T loops). The record is from Rfam by way of RNAcentral. Lineage: Eukaryota; Metazoa; Chordata; Actinopteri; Gadiformes; Merlucciidae.
GUCAGGAUGGCCGAGCGGUCUAAGGCGCUGCGUUCAGGUCGCAGUCCCCUGGAGGCGUGGGUUCGAAUCCCACUUCUGACA